CUGACUUGGCAUUUUCGGAGUCGGCUCCUCCCAUGAAAUCCGUAGAUCAACUUUUCAAUUUGGUCCGCUCGAGUCGACUCGACAGUCCUGGGAGUCGACUCGGCGCUCAGAGCCCGAACUCCCGAUCUUCUGUCUUUUGGCUCGUCCAGUCUUGGAGUCGACUCGAACUUCCCCGGAGUCGACUCGGCUCUCAGUUUCCGAAACUUAGUCUUCUGUCUUUUUGGUGUACCGCUGCCUUGGAGUCGACUCGAACUGUCUUGGAGUCGACUUGCCUCUCAGAGACGAAAAUACCGUCUUCUGUCUUUGGGGUUGCGCUGUCUUGGAGUCGACUUGGACUUCGCGGGAGUCGACUCGGCUCUCAGUGUCUGAAAUUGGCUCUCUGACUUUUUUGCUUGUUUUCCUCUGGGAGUCGACUCUAGCUUCCUUAGGAGUCGACCUGCCAGCCAUCGGAGUCGACUCGAGUUCUUCAGGAGUCGACUCGGCUCUCAGGGUCCAAAAUAGCUUCUCUGUGUUUCUGCCUUGUUACUCCCUGGAGUCGACUCGUACUAUCCAGGAGUCGACUCGACAAGCAUCGGAGUCGACUCGCGCUCUUCAGGAAUCGACUCGUUGACAGGUUCUGAGAUAAAUCUUUCUGUCCGGCUGUCUGUUGCUUCUUGGAGUCGACUCGAAACUGUAGGAGUCGACUCGAGUGCCUUUCCUUUGAAUUUUUCUUAAAACUUGCUCUUCUAGAUUGAAGCCUUUGAACUUGAAUCUUGGGCCAAUGAGGUGUGGCUUUCUUCCAACUUUUCUUGAGAGCUUUGGAGGCCUUCUUGAAUUCUUCCAACUUGCUAUGUUCCUUGCAAACUAAAUAAUCUUUCUUCUUGCAACACAAACAUUAGUAUUUAUACUUCAAGGUUUUGUGAUCAUCAAAAUCAAUCUUUAAAUCAAUCUUUGGGUCAUCACCAAGCUUAAGAAAAAUAUAUAUAUCACAUGUGUAUUGACUUAGAUUUCAUUGUAUAUCAUUUUAUGAAUGAUGUUUGUGGGUAACAUUACUGCAAACCCUUACGAGACAACACUCGUCCACUAGGAUAAUC
Molecule: long non-coding RNA, 1073 nt
Filed under: Phoenix dactylifera (date palm)
Lineage: Eukaryota; Viridiplantae; Streptophyta; Magnoliopsida; Arecales; Arecaceae
Description: long non-coding RNA (PDAC_LNC010760)
Source: RNAcentral